Molecule: unclassified non-coding RNA, 240 nt
Filed under: soil metagenome
Description: partial contains 5.8S ribosomal RNA, internal transcribed spacer 2, and large subunit ribosomal RNA
Source: RNAcentral
AACUGAUACUACCUGCGGGAACCUGCGGAAGGAUCAUUACCGAGUGAGGGCCCUCUGGGUCCAACCUCCCACCCGUGUUUAUCGUACCUUGUUGCUUCGGCGGGCCCGCCUCACGGCCGCCGGGGGGCACCUGCCCCCGGGCCCGCGCCCGCCGAAGACAUCAUUGAACUCUGUCUGAAGAUUGCAGUCUGAGUAGAUUAGCUAAAUCAGUUAAAACUUUCAACAACGGAUCUCUAGAUC